Molecule: ribosomal RNA, 589 nt
Filed under: uncultured bacterium
Lineage: Bacteria
Description: partial 16S ribosomal RNA
Rfam family: Bacterial small subunit ribosomal RNA
Source: RNAcentral
UGGGGAAUUUUGGACAAUGGGCGAAAGCCUGAUCCAGCAAUGCCGCGUGUGUGAAGAAGGCCUUCGGGUUGUAAAGCACUUUUGUCCGGAAAGAAAUCCUUGGCUCUAAUACAGUCGGGGGAUGACGGUACCGGAAGAAUAAGCACCGGCUAACUACGUGCCAGCAGCCGCGGUAAUACGUAGGGUGCAAGCGUUAAUCGGAAUUACUGGGCGUAAAGCGUGCGCAGGCGGUUUGCUAAGACCGAUGUGAAAUCCCCGGGCUCAACCUGGGAACUGCAUUGGUGACUGGCAGGCUAGAGUAUGGCAGAGGGGGGUAGAAUUCCACGUGUAGCAGUGAAAUGCGUAGAGAUGUGGAGGAAUACCGAUGGCGAAGGCAGCCCCCUGGGCCAAUACUGACGCUCAUGCACGAAAAGCGUGGGGAGCAAAACAGGAUUAGAUACCCUGGUAGUCCACGCCCUAAAACGAUGUCAACUAGUUGUUGGGGAUUCAUUUCCUUAGUAACGUAGCUAACGCGUGAAGUUGACCGCCUGGGGGAGUACGGUCGCAAGAUUAAAACUCAAAGGAAUUGACGGGGUCAUAGCUGUUUCCU